This is a non-coding RNA of Ixodes scapularis (black-legged tick), 84 nucleotides long. The record is from Rfam. NCBI's taxonomy places the organism in Eukaryota, Metazoa, Arthropoda, Arachnida, Ixodida, Ixodidae.
UGGUUGCUUAAGACAGCAGGACGGUGGCCAGGGAAGUCGGAAGCCGCUAAGGAAUGUGUAACAACUCACCUGCCGAAGCAACCA